Aedes albopictus (Asian tiger mosquito) is the source of this 58-nucleotide non-coding RNA. The record is from Rfam. Lineage: Eukaryota; Metazoa; Arthropoda; Insecta; Diptera; Culicidae.
UAGCCUAGUGGUUCAGGCUAUGGAUUGCCAAUCCGGAGACCGCGGGUUCGAUUCCCGU